ACUGGACUAAUUAUGAUUCCCUACAUAGAGUAUUCCAAUUUGUCUCUUUUUGCCUUUGUACAGGCUGUCCUCGAAGAUGUUCAACUGACGUCUAUUCUCUAGAAUUACUUCCUUCAAAACUCAGCUCCACUGCUACUUCCUGCAUGAAGUCUUUUCUGAUAUAUUCAGGUGUCAGCAUCCUUACCUUCCCUCAGUUAUUCUGCAUAGCACCUGAAGCACCCCCUCUUCCCUAAUCCUGGCCACAUUUAACCACUUUAACAGAAGCUCUCCAUCUCCCUCUUUUCCGAAAUUAUGCCUGCCUCAAGA
RNAcentral lists this long non-coding RNA (306 nucleotides) under Sarcophilus harrisii (Tasmanian devil). RNAcentral's name for it is "lncRNA (ENSSHAG00000021276.1)". The record is from RNAcentral. Lineage: Eukaryota; Metazoa; Chordata; Mammalia; Dasyuromorphia; Dasyuridae.